Pleuronectes platessa (European plaice) is the source of this 378-nucleotide long non-coding RNA. RefSeq lists it as uncharacterized. NCBI's taxonomy places the organism in Eukaryota, Metazoa, Chordata, Actinopteri, Pleuronectiformes, Pleuronectidae. The transcript has 3 exons. The record is from RefSeq and is a predicted model, not a curated record.
CGUGUCAGCCCUGUUUACCUGGUGAUCACUGUGCAGAGGUGGGGCUCUCCUCCCCGUCUGGGCCCUGCGACCCUGGCUUCUACUGCACAGGAGGAUCCACGACAGCCACACCUUGGGGUAAUAUCACAGUUGCAGGAGAUUUCACAUCCCCACGUCCUGGCAAUACAAUCCUGGGUCUGUUCCAUGGUGAUGUGUGUCCUGCGGGCCACUAUUGUCCUCGAGGGAGUUCAAAGCCAAGCCCCUGUCCUCCAGGCACUUUCUUGGGGAAGUCUGCAGCUGAGUCAGAAGCUGACUGUGAAGCUUGUUACCCUGGUUCCUUCUGCCCCUCCUGGGCUCAGAUCUCUGCUGACCUCCUGUGCCCCGCGGGGUGGUUCUGUC